RNAcentral lists this ribosomal RNA (450 nucleotides) under uncultured bacterium. RNAcentral's name for it is "bacterial SSU rRNA". It matches the Rfam family "Bacterial small subunit ribosomal RNA", at positions 354 to 796 of the family's 1533-position model. The record is from RNAcentral.
GUGGGGAAUAUUGGACAAUGGGCGAAAGCCUGAUCCAGCCAUGCCGCGUGUGUGAAGAAGGUCUUCGGAUUGUAAAGCACUUUAAGUUGGGAGGAAGGGCAGUAAGUUAAUACCUUGCUGUUUUGACGUUACCGACAGAAUAAGCACCGGCUAACUUCGUGCCAGCAGCCGCGGUAAUACGAAGGGUGCAAGCGUUAAUCGGAAUUACUGGGCGUAAAGCGCGCGUAGGUGGUUUUGUAAGUUGGAGGUGAAAUCCCCGGGCUCAACCUGGGAACUGCCUCCAAAACUGCAUGACUAGAGUACGGUAGAGGGUAGUGGAAUUUCCUGUGUAGCAGUGAAAUGCGUAGAUAUAGGAAGGAACACCAGUGGCGAAGGCGACUACCUGGACUGAUACUGACACUGAGGUGCGAAAGCGUGGGGAGCAAACAGGAUUAGAAACCCUUGUAGUCC